GGACCUAUAGCUCAGUGGUAGAGCAAUCGGCUGCAGUCCGAUAGGUCAGUGGUUCAACUCCGCUUGGGUCCU
This is a transfer RNA of Coccomyxa subellipsoidea C-169, 72 nucleotides long. It matches the Rfam family "tRNA". From Rfam's summary of the family: Transfer RNA (tRNA) molecules are approximately 80 nucleotides in length. Their secondary structure includes four short double-helical elements and three loops (D, anti-codon, and T loops). Further hydrogen bonds mediate the characteristic L-shaped molecular structure. tRNAs have two regions of fundamental functional importance: the anti-codon, which is responsible for specific mRNA codon recognition, and the 3' end, to which the tRNAs corresponding amino acid is attached (by aminoacyl-tRNA synthetases). tRNAs cope with the degeneracy of the genetic code in two manners: having more than one tRNA (with a specific anti-codon) for a particular amino acid; and 'wobble' base-pairing, i.e. permitting non-standard base-pairing at the 3rd anti-codon position. NCBI's taxonomy places the organism in Eukaryota, Viridiplantae, Chlorophyta, Trebouxiophyceae, Coccomyxaceae. The record is from Rfam.